GCUCCAGUAGCGUAUAUUAAAGUUGUUGCAGUUAAAAAGCUCGUAGUUGGGGCACCUGGCCGCCGUCGUAGACGUGUGAGUGCCGGAGUGCCUGUUUCAUCCUUCCAGAAUGCAGUUCUGCCUCACGGGUGGGAGCUGUUAUCUGGAUCUUACUUUGAAGAAAUUGGAGUGUUUAAAGCAGCUUACGCCAGAACAUAUUA
RNAcentral lists this ribosomal RNA (200 nucleotides) under uncultured eukaryote. Its description in RNAcentral is "partial 18S ribosomal RNA". It matches the Rfam family "Eukaryotic small subunit ribosomal RNA", at positions 588 to 806 of the family's 1831-position model. The record is from RNAcentral.